This 394-nucleotide ribosomal RNA is filed under the name uncultured bacterium. RNAcentral describes it as "partial 16S ribosomal RNA". It matches the Rfam family "Bacterial small subunit ribosomal RNA", at positions 523 to 918 of the family's 1533-position model. The record is from RNAcentral.
AUACGGAGGAUGCAAGCGUUAUCCGGAUUUAUUGGGUUUAAAGGGUGCGUAGGCGGUUUGCUAAGCGGGAGGUGAAAUGCCGGCGCUCAACAGUGGAACUGCCUCGCGAACUGGUUGUCUUGAAUGCUCCUGCCGUGGGAGGAAUGGGUGGUGUAGCGGUGAAAUGCAUAGAGAUCACACAGAACACCGAUUGCGAAGGCAUCUCACGAAGGGGUGAUUGACGCUGAGGCACGAAAGCGUGGGGAUCAAACAGGAUUAGAUACCCUGGUAGUCCACGCAGUAAACGAUGAUAACUAACCGCUGGGUCGUAGUGAUUCAGUGGCCAAGCGAAAGCGAUAAGUUAUCCACCUGGGGAGUACGACCGCAAGGUUGAAACUCAAAUGAAUUGGCGGGG